Molecule: ribosomal RNA, 502 nt
Filed under: uncultured Glomeromycotina
Lineage: Eukaryota; Fungi; Glomeromycota
Description: partial small subunit ribosomal RNA
Rfam family: Eukaryotic small subunit ribosomal RNA
Source: RNAcentral
CCAAUAGCGUAUAUUAAAGUUGUUGCAGUUAAAAAGCUCGUAGUUGAACUUCGGGGUCUACCCAUUGGUCAGGCUUAAUUGUCUGUACUGGUGAGAUGGAUCUCUACCUUCUGAGGAACUUUCAUGCCAUUUAUUUGGUGUGGUUGGAAAUCAGGACUGUUACUUUGAAAAAAUUAGAGUGUUUAAAGCAGACUAUCGUCUGAAUACAUUAGCAUGGAAUAAUGAAAUAGGACGGACUGAUUCUAUUUCGUUGGUUUCUAGGAUCACCGUAAUGAUUAAUAGGGAUAGUUGGGGGCAUUAGUAUUCAAUUGUCAGAGGUGAAAUUCUUGGAUUUAUUGAAGACUAACUACUGCAAAAGCAUUUGCCAAGGAUGUUUUCAUUAAUCAAGAACGAAAGUUAGGGGAUCGAAGACGAUCAGAUACCGUCGUAGUCUUAACCAUAAACUAUGCCGACUAGGGAUCGGACGAAGUUAAUUUUAUAAUGACGCGUUCGGCACCUUACG